GGUUUGCCAGUUUAAAACUUCUUCUGUAGGGGUGAUUGGCAAGGGUUGGCCUUCAGGAGAAACUUUUGAUGAUUGAAUAAAAGGCCUGGUAGAAAUCUUUGUUUUUGAAUCAGUUUGUUGGCUAAGAGGAGGGUAUUUUGUUUCAUAGGUAGGUGUAAACAUCAUACAAGGUGAAACAAGGGGUAAGGUAGGAAGAGGUUUUGGUGGAUCAGGCUCAAACUCCUCGGGAUCUUCAGGAGGAAGAAUUCCUUCUUUCCUCAAGAUCUCUAAAGCAAGAUCAUAUAUGGGCAAAGGCUUUUUCUUUUUGGUUUCUUCUUGGAUUCCUAUCCACGGGCCAUUGUCAAGAUGAUCUUGUUGAAAAUGUUGUUGUUGCUGAGAUUUACAAGAAACUCUGGAGGUUUUUUUGAGUUUUCUCCAGUUCUUGUCAGAGAGUGGGUGAUCAUAUUCUCGUGCCCAGUAGUUGUCACAACAAUCACACUCUGGGUCGCAUUCACCAGAUCCCAGGGACAAUGUUUAUUUAUCAGCUUUGGAUAAAUAUAAUGACCAUCUCCAGAAAGAGCACAGAUUGGAAAUUCUUUAUGCUCUUUAGUCAUAGGCUGAAGCAUCAUUGUUUGGAAAAUAGGGACAGACCCCAUCGAGUGCCGAGCGGGCUGGAAAGAGGUCUGGACAGUCCCAUCUGGUCUCCUUUGGAAGGAAGAUUCAGUAAUUUGUAUUGGAUGAGAGGUGGCAUGAAUCUUUUCAUAAUUAGUCAACCAAUCUUUAGGAAUGAGUUACUCCAACUCAUUUCUUGGCAGCUGUCUAGGGAUUUGUACAAUAGUAGGGGUGGUCUCUGUAUCAGCCAAUACUAGCAGAGCGUCAGUAGAUACUGAUGCUUGGCCUGGAUCUACCGCAUGAUCUUGGAGUCUGUAAAUGAUCUGAUGGUGUAUUGUGGCCAUCAUUGAGGAUGCCACUUGUUCAGCUCCAGUCAGCUGUACUUGAACCUUUAAAGCAUAGCAUAGAUUAACAUCCCGGAGUGACAUGUUGUAAUUGGGGAAGAAAGUAAAGACAACACUACCAGCAUGUAGUGUGGUCAAACAUGUGUCAAUAACUGCAUGUUCAUGCUGUAAAAAGCGAGUGUCUAGAAGAGAGACACGUGCAGUAACAGGAAGACCUCUUCGUCCAUGUAGAGUGAGGAUGAGACGAACAGCUCCAAAAUGAAGGUGAGAAUAUCCUUCAUUUCUCCAUCGAGGAACCAGGGGAGAAGCAAUCUCCAAUGUAACAUAUUGUUCUACAGAAGUACUUUGGAGACUACACUGAUCCAUCUUUGAAGCUUGAAUAUAUUCUUUAGGAAGAGAUCGACGAGUGGAAAUAAGAGAUCUGAU
Molecule: unclassified non-coding RNA, 1361 nt
Filed under: Hevea brasiliensis (rubber tree)
Lineage: Eukaryota; Viridiplantae; Streptophyta; Magnoliopsida; Malpighiales; Euphorbiaceae
Source: RNAcentral